UGGUGAUGUCUGCAUUUGUCCCCCGGAGGCAGGAACUUUCGCCAUACUCAGCCUCAUGACAGGCUCUGCCGUCGAGCGGCUGGUGUCGGAACCCCUCGUGGGGAACCUGAGCGGAAUCGAGAAGGAGCAGCUGGACGCUCAGCGGGUUGGGCUGGGGAUGUUCGUGCUGCAGCUCGGCGUCUUGUCCACCUUUUUGUCCGAGCCUGUGGUCAAGGCGCUGACCAGCGGGGCCGCGCUGCACGUGCUCGUAUCCCAGCUGCCGAGCCUCUUGGGGUUGUCCCUCCCGCGCCAGAUCGGCUGCUUCUCUCUCUUCAAGGUGGGGGUGGGAGAAGAAAGGAGAAGGGGCUUCUAGAGGUCCCGGGAAUAGGGAAACUCGAAAAGGGAGGAAGGACGGAGGGUGGAGGGGUAGUAUGUGACAAGGGCGCAGGAAAGGGGGUUGGAGCCACGUGGCCGAACGAGGGCGCUGAGGAGGUGUAAGCCCUGGUGGCACUGGGGAGAGAAGGCCUCGCUCUGGGGGGCCCGCGCCGGGGCGCACGAACCCUGGCACGGGGCCCUCUGCUCAUCGCCCCUGCCCUCAGACGCUGGC
This 586-nucleotide small RNA is filed under the name Pongo abelii (Sumatran orangutan). RNAcentral's name for it is "retained intron". Lineage: Eukaryota; Metazoa; Chordata; Mammalia; Primates; Hominidae. The record is from RNAcentral.